AACGAACGCUGGCGGCAUGCCUAACACAUGCAAGUCGAACGAGACCUUCGGGUCUAGUGGCGCACGGGUGCGUAACGCGUGGGAACCUGCCCUUAGGUUCGGAAUAACUCCCCGAAAGGGGUGCUAAUACCGGAUAAUGUCUUCGGACCAAAGAUUUAUCGCCUUUGGAUGGGCCCGCGUUGGAUUAGCUAGUUGGUAGGGUAAAAGCCUACCAAGGCGACGAUCCAUAGCUGGUCUGAGAGGAUGAUCAGCCACACUGGGACUGAGACACGGCCCAGACUACUACGGGAGGCAGCAGUGGGGAAUAUUGGACAAUGGGCGAAAGCCUGAUCCAGCAAUGCCGCGUGAGUGAUGAAGGCCUUAGGGUUGUAAAGCUCUUUUACCCGGGAUGAUAAUGACAGCACCGGGAGAAUAAGCUCCGGCUAACUCCGUG
This 433-nucleotide ribosomal RNA is filed under the name uncultured bacterium. Its description in RNAcentral is "partial 16S ribosomal RNA". It matches the Rfam family "Bacterial small subunit ribosomal RNA", at positions 29 to 507 of the family's 1533-position model. The record is from RNAcentral.